UGACGUCAUCAUCCAGCCGCCGUCGACGUGAAUGACAGGUCGCGGGAUUUGUCUGUCUGCUUGCUACCUUUUGAGACUCGUGAGGGAUAUUUCUACAAAGGACAGGUGUAAUUGGCUAUAUAUGAGAUGUAAAGAAAGAUCAGAAGGAAAGGAUCCAAGGGGAUGUAGACAAUAUUAUAGUCGAAAUACGCUAUAAAAAGGGAGAAGAAGAAGAGGUGUCUGUCUUCUGCUGCUGAUAGUUGGGAUGGCCGUGACCUGACAGUGAUUACGCAUCUGUAAGGCGAAGGACGUCGGAAAAUAUGUGUGGACUGCUGUUAAGCUCCCAGUUGGUUCUGUAAUUUUAGCAGUUAGCGACUGAAGCUAAGGGUAUCGUAGUUGCAUUUCAGGACGGGAUAAAUAUAUUGCCUCACUGUAGAUAGACUUUACAGUUAGCAGGGCAGUGAACUAAUGAACAGAUGCAGAGAUAAUUACGGAAAGGAAUAGAGCUCGUCAAGAAGGCCUGCAAAUUAGAAACUAUAAUGAACAAAACCAAAGGUAUGUAAAUCACAUCUAAACCCUGUAUUUUUUCCUCUUCUAUAAAAGAGAAUGAAAAAAAUUAAUGCAAAUAUUUGUUAAGAGGUGACAAAAUGUCCCAGGAGUACGCCCAGGAAUAUAUAUGUGUGUGUGUGUGUGUGUGUGUGUGU
Molecule: long non-coding RNA, 683 nt
Organism: Penaeus monodon (black tiger shrimp)
Lineage: Eukaryota; Metazoa; Arthropoda; Malacostraca; Decapoda; Penaeidae
Exons: 3
Source: RefSeq, a predicted model, not a curated record